This 61-nucleotide small nucleolar RNA is filed under the name Streptococcus sp. ACS2. RNAcentral's name for it is "putative Small nucleolar RNA SNORD75". Lineage: Bacteria; Bacillati; Bacillota; Bacilli; Lactobacillales; Streptococcaceae. The record is from RNAcentral.
AGCUAAUUAUGAUAAUAAAGUAGCUGAAAAAGUUGUUACUGAAAAACGUAACGCUGAAGCU